Non-coding RNA from Termitomyces sp. Mi166#008, 95 nucleotides. The record is from the annotation of a GenBank genome assembly. Lineage: Eukaryota; Fungi; Basidiomycota; Agaricomycetes; Agaricales; Lyophyllaceae.
GCCCGCUUAGCUCAAUCGGAUAGAGCGUCAGACUCUUACAGUCAAGGCAGGCUAGUGAUAUCUGAAGGCUGCGAGUUCGACCCUCGCGGUGGGCU